This 254-nucleotide ribosomal RNA is filed under the name uncultured bacterium. Its description in RNAcentral is "partial 16S ribosomal RNA". It matches the Rfam family "Bacterial small subunit ribosomal RNA", at positions 524 to 777 of the family's 1533-position model. The record is from RNAcentral.
UACAGGGGGGGCAAGCGUUGUUCGGAAUUACUGGGCGUAAAGGGCUCGUAGGCGGCCAACUAAGUCACACGUGAAAUCCCCAGGCUUAACCUGGGAACUGCGUGUGAUACUGGAUGGCUUGAAUCCGGGAGAGGGAUGCAGAAUUCCAGGUGUAGCGGUGAAAUGCGUAGAUAUCUGGAGGAAUACCGGUGGCGAAGGCGGCAUCCUGGACCGGCAUUGACGCUGAUGAGCGAAAGCUAGGGGAGCAAACGGGG